This 353-nucleotide ribosomal RNA is filed under the name uncultured soil bacterium. RNAcentral's name for it is "bacterial SSU rRNA". It matches the Rfam family "Bacterial small subunit ribosomal RNA", at positions 512 to 863 of the family's 1533-position model. The record is from RNAcentral.
CAGCCGCGGUAAUACGUAGGGGGCAAGCGUUGUCCGGAUUUAUUGGGCGUAAAGAGCGUGUAGGCGGCCAUACAGGUCCGUUGUGAAAACUGGAGGCUUAACCUCCAGACGUCGAUGGAAACCGUAUGGCUAGAGUCCGGAAGAGGAGAGUGGAAUUCCUGGUGUAGCGGUGAAAUGCGCAGAUAUCAGGAAGAACACCCGUGGCGAAGGGGGCUCUCUGGGACGGUACUGACGCUGAGACGCGAAAGCGUGGGGAGCGAACAGGAUUAGAUACCCUGGUAGUCCACGCCGUAAACGAUGGCUGCUAGGUGUGGGGGGUGUCGACUCCCUCCGUGCCGCAGCUAACGCAUUAA